ACAGAGCCAAUACAGGAAUGCGGGAGGAAACCGGAGCACCCGGAGGAAAACCGUGUGUUCACGGGGAGAACGUACAAACUCCUCACAGAGAGCGUCGAAAGGCCGUAAAGAAAACUUCUGGCCCAUCAACCUUCAUGAGUCAAGGUAUUGAGUGCGGGAGACGAGAAGUUCUGCUGAAAAUGUACGAGACGUUGAUGUGGAUUUACGAAUCCCCUACAUAACGGACAUAACUUUCCUACUAUGGACCAGACAAUAUUCAGGUUGUUCAUCUUCGAAUCUGAAUGAACACACUACAGCUGUCAUUAUCUUCAUCAAGACCUGCGUGGACGAGCGUGUGCCUUGGAGGACAUACCCAAACCCGAAGCCGUGGAUGAACCAGGAGAUUCACAAUCCACUGAGGGCUAGAUCCGUGGCACUCAAGACCGGUGACCCAGAACUAAUCAAGAAGUCCAGCAUUGAAACAAAUGGCAUCAAAAGCAUAUAAGACUGUCGGGGGUAAGAAAACAAUUCCGAAAGGCGGAGGGAGAGAAGAAACCAGUUCUUUCAUUCACUGGAAUGAAUCCUCACAAAAGCCUCCUUGAUCCAUGGGAGAGAUGUCAAAGGAGGCAAUUUCUGCCACGGAGCGCCUGCAACUCAACCGUAUGAAAGAGGUGGCUGGGGUCCUAUCAGAGUCCGUGAUCUAUGCUGUACUCAAACCCUGUUUUCAUGGGCGGUGGGUUCUCAAUCGUCGGGAGCUGCCGGGCGGUCUGAGCAUUGGUAUCUCUAGGAAUGGCCUGGAAGAAGUUUGCCCUCGAGGUGUGGCCCAGUGCUUGACAAUUCCUCACCGAUGUUGCCGACUGAAGCAUCUCAGGAGAUUGAAACAUCAAGACAGCAGAUGCGGCUGUCGGAAACCUCUGUGGUCUAGAGAUCUGUCUGUCUGUCUCUCUCUCUCUCUCUCUGGAGAGGGUUUGCGGAUUCUCAAGUUGGCAGAGCUCGAAACAAGUGACACAGUGCACUGUCAGAUCAAAGCAGAGUGCUGUUGGCCUCCCACUCACUGGGCCAGGAGUGAUAUCUGUCUCCCUCCUUAGUGAGAGAGGGGGCUUGUUAAAAUGUAGAGGUGUCGGGAGGAACAGUAGUUUUUGAUGGACUAUAGAUGAUGGUCUUUGGAGGGGCUUGCU
Molecule: long non-coding RNA, 1157 nt
Organism: Hypanus sabinus (Atlantic stingray)
Lineage: Eukaryota; Metazoa; Chordata; Chondrichthyes; Myliobatiformes; Dasyatidae
Exons: 5
Source: RefSeq, a predicted model, not a curated record